This 349-nucleotide long non-coding RNA is filed under the name Salvia miltiorrhiza (redroot sage). Its description in RNAcentral is "long non-coding RNA (SMIL_LNC013459)". Lineage: Eukaryota; Viridiplantae; Streptophyta; Magnoliopsida; Lamiales; Lamiaceae. The record is from RNAcentral.
AUUAGUUGAAAGAACCUAAAAAUAAGUCUUAUACAAAGCAAAUAAAGAAAAGAAAAAAGAUAUAUGUUUACUUGAGCUGAGAAAAUCAUGUUAUUAAAAAUUAUGGAGAGUUUGAAGAAAGUGCUUACUUGGCAGUCUAUUGAGUUGUCGAGCGUCUGUAACUUGUGAGGAACUGAGAAGACCCAUUAAUAAGAAAAGAGCCAUAAUUAUAAUUCUUGUGGAAGCCAUUUGUGGAGAAGACCAUCAAAGUAUUUGUCCAAAACUCAAUUGGGAUUUAAUUAAUUUAUUAUGAGCAAGCAGGUUUAUAUAUACAAGCUGAAGAGACAGUGCUUUUGUGUGCUUUGUCAUG